Molecule: long non-coding RNA, 586 nt
Filed under: Gossypium raimondii (Peruvian cotton)
Lineage: Eukaryota; Viridiplantae; Streptophyta; Magnoliopsida; Malvales; Malvaceae
Description: long non-coding RNA (GRAI_LNC009282)
Source: RNAcentral
AGCUGAAAAGAGAGUGGAGAAAAACAGAGAAAAAAAUACAGUAGCGUGGCAGCAAGCAGAAUUUUCUAAGAAAUUUGACCAGCAACCCGAUCAAGGAGCUGGAGUAGCAGCUAGUAAAUUCGGCUAAUUGGGAGAAGGGAAGUCGGACGAUUUGAAGAACUCUGCCUUUCGAGAACCAGUUUGUAAUUCAUGUUCUCUCCAUUGGAUUCGUGUUCUAUUUUAUUAGCUAUGAGUGGCUAAUUUAUUUAAGCUUAGUUUGACACUUAUGAAACCGGGCACAGGUGAUUUGAAAUCUAUUUUGUUCUAAAAUCGAAUUUGGCACUCUUGAAUUGUUUGAUUUUAUCUUCCAAGGAAUUUUUCUAAUUCAAUUGGAGUGAUCACCUAAUUAAUUUGGGAAUUUUUCUUAUAAUCAUUUAAGUGCAAAUUGAGAAAUCGAAUUUCUCAAUUAUACUUAGAAUUAGUGAUAAUUAAUUGGCCGCAGCUAAUUAAGGCAACUUCGGAUUUAAUCUUAGAAGCCGCUGGUGGAUUUUCUUUGGUUAAGGCAAGGCGAAGUCUCUAAAACUCUAAAAUUCCUUUCACAAAGUCG